This 300-nucleotide small nuclear RNA is filed under the name Meriones unguiculatus (Mongolian gerbil). RNAcentral's name for it is "7SK RNA (ENSMUGG00000019804.1)". It matches the Rfam family "7SK RNA". From Rfam's summary of the family: 7SK was discovered as an abundant small nuclear RNA in the mid-70s but a possible function has only recently been suggested. Lineage: Eukaryota; Metazoa; Chordata; Mammalia; Rodentia; Muridae. The record is from RNAcentral.
GGGUGUAACGGCAAUCUGGCUGUGACUUCUUUUAUCAUUGACCAGCGGGGUUGGUUUGGCUGAUCUAGCUGUGACUUGGCUAUGUCUCCUUUCUUGUCACCUCUCCAUUUGCGUCGCUCUGGGAGCUGCACGCUGGACCAGACGAAAUUCCCCGAUAGAGAAAGAGGGGUCUUCUGUCAAGGUCGUAUGACUAGCUGUGCCCCCUGCUAGAGCCUCCAAACAACCUCUCAAAACUGUGUGAGUUUUUAUUAUUAUUAUUUUUAACAGUCUAACAGGUAAAGAUGGACGCCAUUUCAUUGU